This 7993-nucleotide long non-coding RNA is filed under the name Triticum aestivum (bread wheat). Its description in RNAcentral is "long non-coding RNA (TAES_LNC000903)". The record is from RNAcentral. Lineage: Eukaryota; Viridiplantae; Streptophyta; Magnoliopsida; Poales; Poaceae.
UGCUGUCACGUAGAUCCCCGUCCAGUUACAUAGGCUCUGGUCUUUCCAGGUGCAGGACGAGGUACAGGCCAUUGGAGGUUCGCAAAAACUAGAGCACAAAGAGUUGAUGAGGCCGCUGAUAUACAUUUUUCCUUCGUGUACAAGAUUUGAUCGGGAACAACAACAUACAAACGUCGAUUAGCAGGCAAUAACACACAACUGUGCACGCUCCUGAUAUUCAGAGAGAUUCUAUUUUUACACUUCGGGAGUACAUAUGAAAAACACAUAUCUACUGUUGUUCAGACGUAGUUGAAACUGCAGCAUAAUCAUAUUUGACAUCUACAGUGUUGCUAUCUUGGGAACCGUGUUCUCUCCAACUGAUCUUCCACAUCUGGAGUAAGCUUACCCUGCAUGACAGAGGAAAAAUAUUACUCACAUGAUGAAUCUGGUGAUUUCUCAUUCUGUUAUCAUUCUAGUAAUCAAAUUGAACAAAGAUCAACCUCAUAAAGAGCGAAGACAUCACAAUUUUAGCAUCAGUGGAAUGAAAGUCCAUGAUAGUGUAGCAUAAAUUUUGGUGUAUUUGUAUUGCUCAAAGCAGAACAAGCAACUUACGACUGGAAACAGUUUGGCCUGUAUAAUUGUGAUUUUUAAUACAACUGUAUGUAUAAUCAUAUUUGAUCGCUUGACCGUCCUACACGACCUCAUUUUGCCGAGCGUGUGUGGCCAGAGAGCCUAUCGCCGACGCUUUCUGGGUCGUGUGGGAAGGACCCUUCUAUCGCCCACACUCACUUGGCGACGGUUCCAAAUGCCGUUAAUGAAGAGGCUUGGUAUCAUUAUGUUAAUUUGAGCUCAAAUUCAAUAUAAAUCAAAUAAAUUCUCACACAAUUACUCCCAAACUAAACCCACAAAUCACUAUACUUAUAGAGCAUUGCACGUGUUAAUCUAGCAAUUAGAGAUGAAAGGACAAAAUUGCUAACCUUUGUGAACACUUGGAUAGUUGGGGUGCCUCAAAUCUUGACAAAUCUUGGCAAAAAAUGAAGGAUGAGCUUGAGCUAAGGGGAAGAACAGAGAGGGAAAAGGAGAAAACAGAGAGGAUGAGCUCGGGACGAACUGGGGUUUAUAUAGGAAUAACUUUAGUCCCGGUUGGUAAUACAAACUGAGACUAAAGGUCAAGCUAUAGUUCCGGUUGGUGAUACAAACCGGUACUAAAGGGGCUCGUGGGGGGCCAGCCUGACGCCAUCACCAACCGGGAUUAUAGGUCAAAAAUGAACCGGGACUAAUGAUGCCCAUGCCCCCUUCCGCUCCUAGCCGUUGGAACCGGGACUAAUGGUCACAUUAGUCCCGGGCCUAGAUCGGGACUAAUGCUUCGGACGAAAGGUCUGUUUUCUACUAAUGUUCACCCACUCAACAAAGGGCCUUUUCAUAUGCAAUGUGUCAUUGUAUGGUGGUGAAAAAACAUCCGCUUCCAUAUAUCAGUGGUGAUUCCCCAAUUUGUGUCGGUUGCUGCCGACGUCGAGCUUGGAUGCGCAUGCACUGUCUCUGCUUCUUGUGAUGCUUUUGCUACUGCCCUUCUACCUCCACUUCAUAUUGAUGUGUCAUAACCGUAGACUGCAUUUGCGUUGCACCUAAUGAACUGGACAAAUACAGGGGGAAACUCGAUUGAAAGUUGACAACAACAAUGGUUAAUGUUCUGGCCCUAUAAAUUCCAAAAAUUUGUCUAAACCAUAUUUGAUGAAAGCCAUUUCUCUUAUUCUUCCUGGGAAAAUUUCAAUGCUCUCCAUAAGGGUCAAAAUGAUGAAGCACGCACGCUCCUCAUGAGGAGAUACAUAGCCUGCCGAGUCGUGACUCGGAGUAUACUCCGCGACAUCUUGGCAGCAGCAGCGAAAGCCAUUGUGGUUGGCUCUAAUACCAACUGUUUUGAACCUUGAUCCACCAGAAAAUGCAUGGCCGCAAAGGAUUGCGUAUACAUAGGUUUAGAUGCGAGGACAACUUGGUGAAACAUAUUGAUUGUUCUUGCCUCCUCAAACAUGGGCGCAUGCCAUCCUUAUAUAACGGAUGCUUGGGCCCUUGAGGCCUUGACCUUUCAUAUUCUCCUAAUAUGAUUAGACUUCCUUAUACAAAUGCAGUCUUUCCUAAUCUUACAAUUUCCUAGUGGACUCUUAGGAUACUUCUUUCUCAUUGACUCCUUGUCAGGUCCUAGCAGAAAAGGAAUCUCAACAUAUAUCCCUCAGUUGUCCAUCAGAGAAACAGAAGUGAAGGGUACAUUCACUUAUCCAACGUUGCACGUGUGAUUGAGAAAUACAAUGGCUGUUGUUACGUGGCUUAUUGUUGUAAUUGCAGUUUACUGUAAUUUAGUUUAACCAGGUGCUUUGCUUAGGCCAUUUACCACAUGUUUUACUCUCGGUAAUCACCAAACCGAUCUGGCUAUGUUUACCGUUCCCAUCUGAGUAAAGUGUAAGAAAGAAUUCGACAAAACAUAGUUCCUUAGAUUAGCUAGAAGUAAAAGUGAUCAUCUUCACAACCAUCCCGCAUUUUAUCCUGUAAUCCGACAAAUCCCUCGUUCGGUUUUUCGAUGAAUUCCUUCUAAUUAUUUUGGUCCUGGCACUCCUCCCAUGCUAGAUCAACAGGCGAUCCCUCUAUUGGAGCACAAAUUUGGUGAAGCAAAAUAUGCUUUUUGUAUUUGGUUUACUCUAAUAUCUCAGAAACAAAAGCGUCGAGUAUGGACCGCUUCACCCAGCCAACACCAUGUAUGCAUUGUGUGGUAGUGGGAAAACUGCCGCUUUCAUAUAUAUAGUCUCGAUUCCCUGCUACCAAAGAAAUCAUCAGGUCAUCAUAUUGUCAUGAUCAUUUGAAUUACUAUGGCAUGGCAGAUCAUCAUGCUUAUUGUGUUUCUCAAAAGUGCGAUUUUUACUGCUGGAAUCAGCCAUACACCUCUAUCGAAAAGAAAAGAUGGGAACCUGAAAUAAAAAUAUAUAGUUCCCAAUCCAUGACAACAAUUGCAUGAUAAAACAGGGGAAAUCUGGGUCCAGAGCUCCCACCUCUAACUCUAUCCCAAAUCGAUGAUGCAUUAACCCAUCUUCAUUCUGUGCUGAAAACCUGAACUCUUUUUCUUUUCUCAUUUGAAAGAGUAAUAAGAAAGCUGAACUCAGUCUAUCACUUAGUGACUUAGACAGGCAAGCUGAUAUAUGAUUUUGCACACAUGGAAGUCAUCGAGUGCAUAGCAUGCAGCUUAAUGGAUUCCCAAGAGCAGCAACAAUUGAUGCAGAGCAGUGACAGUAAAUCCCCGUCGAGUUACAUAGGCUCUAGUCUUUCCAAGCGCGGGACGAGUUAUAGACCAUUGGUUGUUUAGGAAAAACUAGACCAGAGAGUUGAUGAGGCCGCCGAUAUACAUGUUCCCUUCGUGUACAAUAUUUGAUCAGGAACAACCGCAUACAAACGCCAAUUAGCAGGCUAUAACACACAACCGUGCACGCUGGGGCUCUUGAUAUUCAGAUCGACCCUAUUUUUGCACUUUGCAAUUACACACGAAAAACAAAUAUCUAAAAUUGUUCAGACGUAGUUGAAACUGCAGCAUAAUCAUAUUUGACGUCUACAGUGUUGCUAUCUUGGGAACCACGUUCUCUCCAACUGAUCUUCCACAUCUGGAGUAAGCUUACCCUGCAUGAUAGAGGAAAAAUAUUUUAGUCACAUGGAUACAUAGAUGCAAUGCCUAUUCGAUGUGAUGUUGUUGUCAAAACUACGUACACAUGAUGAAUGAGAACAUUGAUUUUUGGAAGGGAACCAGGGUAGCAUUAGGAAGAAUCUGAAUUUGCACGUCGUUUGUCCAGCCUUCUGUUCCGUGGUAUUGCAGUUUGUACUCGCUAGAAUCGCCCCUUCACCUCUGUAGAAAAGGAAACAUAGAACUCUUAAAUCUGAAUGCGAAAAAUGCAAAGAGAGCCUUGGCUCAGUGGUGUUGGGCAUGCGGUUGUGCAGCCUAGCGACCCGAGUUCAAUUCCUAGAAUUGACAGGCGAUGCACAGGGGUUUUCCCCCGUUUAUUGAGGAUCAAGCUUGAUGUGUGGUGGAACCUCUCAUCAAGAAAUAUCUUGAUACUCAUACUAAAAUUGCCGUAUGCAUCCCUGGUUGGUGCAGAGGCCGGGGAAGUAAAAUUCUCCCCCGUUUUAAAAGACACAUCAAUCUAUCUCUGGUUAGGAGCCCCGAGGCUUUCUUAUCCUAUCUUCCCUGACCUCUCUCCCCCGAGGCGGCGCCACGCCGCCCCCGGGGAGUCCCCGUCCACACCGCCCUCAGCCCUCCCCCUCCAUCGCCUCCCACUACCGCCGCCGUCGCUGAGGACGCCGCGGGGCGAAGCCCCUAUGGUGAGGCGGCGGCGGCGGCUUAGUCCUCAGUAACGCGUGGGGGCAGCGGCGUCCAUCUCCCUCCUCCUCCAACGGCAGCGCGCAGCGGGUUGGCGGUGGCCAGGAGAUCUCCGGCAGGCGUUUGGCAGAUGAGAUUUUGGCUGCGAUGAGAUCUGAUCUAAGCCCGAGGGGUUUAGAUCGAGAUCCACUACGGCUGCGCCUCGUCUCGACAACGGCAAGAGGAGAUCCCCCAUGGGUAAUCUUCGCGGCACGAGGACAUCCGGGUCUCUUGGCCCGGGCAUGGUGGUGGUGGCUGCCUUCUCCAUCGAAGGCGGUAGGCCAGGUUGGUAGUGACGGAUCUUGGAUCCCAGUAUUAGCACCGGCGGCGAGUUGGGGAGACAUAGUCGUCGGUGAAAACCGAGCCGACUACGGUCAUGGCGGGCGAUGGCAGCGUCUACGUCAUUACCUUGAUGAAGGCAUCGUGAAGCAACUAUCGUCAUCCUGCUCGUGCCGCUCCAAGAGAAAUCCUAAGAUCACCGGAUCGGACGAUAGCGGCGCUGCGGUGUCGUGUUCCCUAUUGGGGGCAUUGUUUGUGGAGCGGCGCUGGAUGGAAGAGGCGUGAGGUGGUGUGGCGUGCCUUCUCUCGCGUCGACGACGGCGGGUCUCGGCGGCAUGGAGCAGUGGGCUCUCGCCGGUGGGCAUGUGAUGAUGGACGAGCGCAGGAUGAUGGUGUUGUCUGGCGUCGUGGUGGCGUCGACGACAGCUAGACCGGGCAAGGUAGAUGCAACAGUACAUCACUGAAGAUGGAUUUGUGGCAGGUGGCUGCGUCGGCCUCAUACCCGGCAGGCGUCCUGGUUGAGGAGUGCGCCGGACUCGUGGGUACCCCAUACCCGGCAGGCGUCCUGAUUGGGACCUCAGGUCUUAGAUGUUAGGUUUGGCUGCGAGGUCUGUUUGGUAUUAGGCCCAGACUAUCAGCAUCCCUACAUCAACUGGAUAGGAGUAGCGACAGAUAUUGCCUAGACGGUAGCUUUAGUCUUACUGUUGUACGACUUUUUAAGGUCUUAUGUGAAUAAUUAAUAAAGUGGCUGCUUGCAUCGUCCAGAUGCAGAGGCCGGGGGUCAUCCUCCUUUUCUAAAAAAAAAGAGCUCCCAUAUUAAAUCAUGGGUAUGUACCUGUAUCUCAAAUCGAUGACGCAUUAAUCCAUCUAGUGCAGCUAUUUCUCGGUGAAUUUGUUUAGUUGUGUUUUGCUCCAGAACUCUGAUAGCUAUUGUGGUUUUAGCUUUAGGAGGCACCCUUUCUUAGGUUUUGUUUAUUUUGCUGCAGAUAGAUACUAGACCUUGCUCGUUACCGCUGAGAUAGCUGAACCCCGCAGUUUUUUGGCAUAUUAAAUAUACGAAAAUAUUAUACCGCGUACAUUAUUGUUUGUCUAUUUUUGGCGGUGGCAUACAUUUUUGUUAAUAGAUGACAUUGAUUUGCAACUAGGCACAUACAACACCAGACCUGCGAAGCGACCAUGCAUGCGCGUCGUCGGUGUUGCUCCUAGUUGUGCCUCUGCUGUUGUUGUGCGUGGUUGUGCAACCACCGCUGGUUGUUGCGCCGGGUUGCUUUGUCGUCGAUCCUCCGCCGUCGAGCUUGGCUGCCUCUGCUUCUUCUCGUACUUCUGCUACUGCUUCCUGUUCUGGUGCCUUUUCCACUACUGCAUAUUGUUGUGUCGGUCAUCGUGGACUGCACUUGCACGGUUGCACCUAAUGAACUGGACAAUAAUAGAAGUAACUCAAUUCUCUCGCCAAAAAAAAAAACUCGAUUGAAAGCUGACAACAACCAUGGUACAUGUUCCAGCCCUCUAAACUGCCAAAAGCUCGUCUAAACAAAAUCUGAUGAAGGCCAGGACCAUUAAUCUUCCUGGGAAAAUUUCAAGGUUCUCCAUGAGGAUAAAAAAUGAUGAAGCAUGUUCGAUGUUCCCCGUGAUGGGAUAUAUAGACUGAUGAGUCGCGAGUCGUGACAAGGAGUAUCCUCCGUGAUAUCUUGUCAGCAGCAGCGAAAGCCAUGGUGAUUGGCUCUAAUACUAACUAUUGUGAACCUUGAUCCAACAAAAUGCAUGGCCGCGAGAGAUUGUGCAGACACAGGUUUAAAUGCGAGAACAACGUGGGAAAACGAAAUGCAUGGCCACAUGCCAUCCUUAUAUAAAGGAUGCUUAGGCCCUUGAGGCCUUCGCCUUUCCCAUUCUCCUAAUACGAUUGGAGUCUUUCUAAUCAUACAAUUUCCUAAUGGACUCUUAGGAUACUUCUUUCUCAUGGACUCUUUGUCAGGUCCAGAGAAAUCUCAAUAUAUAUCCCUUAGUUAUCCAUCAGAGCAACACAAGUGAAGGCCACAGUCGGUUAUCCAACGAUGCACGUGUGAUAGCGAGAUCCAAUGGUUAUUGUUACUUGCCUUAUUGCUUUAGUUACUCUUUACUGUAAUUUAGUUCAACCAGGGGGCUUUGCUUGGGCCAUUUACCUCAUGUUUUACUCUGGGUAAUCAUUGAACCGACCCGGCUAUAUAUGUCAUACCCAUCGUGAAUAAAGGGUAAGAAAGAAUUUGCCAGAAAAUACUUCCUUAGAUUAAUUAGAAGUAGAGGCGAUUAUCUUCUCGAGUAUCCCGCAUUUUACACCAAAAUCUGACAAAUCCCUCGUCGGUUUUUGGGUCAAUUCCUUUCAAUUGUGCCGGUCCUAGCACUCCUCCCAUGCUGGUUCAACGGGGGCUCCCUCUAUGGGCUCUCCUCCCAUGCUGGUUCAACGGGAGCGGGUCCCUCUAUUGGCUAACAAAUCGGGUGAAGCAAAAUAUGCUUUCUCUAUUGGUUUACUCUAAUAUCUCGGAAACAAAAGCGUGGAGUACUGACCAUUUCGCCCAGCCAACACCAUGUAUGCAUUGUGUGGUGGUGGGAAAACUGCCGCUUGCAUAUAUAUAGUCUCAAUUCCCAUUCUACCGAAGAGGUCAUCAGGUCAUCAUAUUGCCAUGAUCAUUUGCAUUACUAUGGCAUGGCGGAUCAUCAUGCUUAUUGUGUUUCGCAAAAUUUCCAUUUUUACUGCUAGAAUCAGCCGUACACUUUUAUCGGAAAGAAAACAUGGGAACCUGAAAUCAGAAUCUAGAGUUCUCAAUCCAUGGCAACAGUUGCAUGAUAAAACAGGGGAAAUCUGGGUCCAGAGCUCCCACCUCUAAAUCGCAGUUAUGUUCCCCCGUAUCCCAAAUCAAUGAUCCAUUAACCCCUCCUCGUGCUGUCCUGAAAACCUUAACUUUGUUCAAUUUUGAAAGAGUUAUAAACCUGAACUCAACCCAUCACUUAGACAAGUCGGACAAUAAAUUAUCUUGCACAUACGUAAGUAACAAGCAAGCCAAUGAAUUAUCUUGCACAUAUGGAAGUUGUCGACUGCAUAGCACGCAGCUUAAUGGACUCUGAAGAGCAGUAACAACUGAAGCGGAUGCAGUCACGUAGAACCCCGUCCAGUUACAGGACGAGGUAUAGGCCAUUGGAAGUUCGCAAAAACUAGAGCACAAAGAGUUGAUGAGGCCACUGAUAUACAUUUUUCCUCCCUGUACAAGAUUCGAUCAGGAACAACCACAUACGAACGUCGAUUAGCAGGCAAUAAUACACAACCAUGGAAGCUGGGGUUCCUGAUAUUCAGAUUGAUGCUAUUUUUACACU